This 253-nucleotide ribosomal RNA is filed under the name uncultured microorganism. Its description in RNAcentral is "partial 16S ribosomal RNA". It matches the Rfam family "Bacterial small subunit ribosomal RNA", at positions 524 to 776 of the family's 1533-position model. The record is from RNAcentral.
UACGGAGGGGGCAAGCGUUGUUCGGAAUUACUGGGCGUAAAGCGCACGUAGGCGGUUUUGUAAGUCUGGGGUCAAAGGCGACAGCUCAACUGUCGUAAGGCCUUAGAUACUAUAGAACUGGAGUGCCAGAGAGGAUGGCGGAAUUCCUGGUGUAGCAGUGAAAUGCGUAGAGAUCAGGAGGAACACCGAUGGCGAAGGCAGCCCCCUGGGCCUGUACUGACGCUCAUGCACGAAAGCGUGGGGAGCAAACAGG